This 421-nucleotide ribosomal RNA is filed under the name uncultured bacterium. RNAcentral's name for it is "bacterial SSU rRNA". It matches the Rfam family "Bacterial small subunit ribosomal RNA", at positions 29 to 490 of the family's 1533-position model. The record is from RNAcentral.
AACGAACGCUGGCGGCAGGCCUAACACAUGCAAGUCGAACGCCCGUAGCAAUACGGGAGUGGCAGACGGGUGAGUAACGCGUGGGAACGUGCCCUUCGGUUCGGAAUAACUCAGGGAAACUUGAGCUAAUACCGGAUACGUCCGUAAGGAGAAAGAUUUAUCGCCGAAGGAUCGGCCCGCGUCGGAUUAGCUAGUUGGUGAGGUAACGGCCCACCAAGGCGACGAUCCGUAGCUGGUCUGAGAGGANGAUCAGCCACACUGGGACUGAGACACGGCCCAGACUCCUACGGGAGGCAGCAGUGGGGAAGUAUUGGACAAUGGGCGGAAAGCCUGAUCCAGCCAUGCCGCGUGAGUGAAGAAGGCCUUUAGGGUUUGUAAAGCUCUUUCAGCGGGAAGAUAAUGACGGUACCCGCAGAAGAAG